AUACGGACCAGGCAUAAAGUGACCCUCUCUAGAUGACCGCUUUAGACACUGCCUAGCGGUUAGUGUGUUCCUGCUGCCUGCUCAGCCCUGUGACUAACACCCUCACGACAGCUCGGAUUGGAGCAGUUUCUUCUGCCUGGAACAAUUCCACCAGCUCGCUGCCACCUACCCACUGCCUCCCAGAUACUGUUGACUGUUUAUACGCCGGCCCCCUGCACUGGACCACGCAUAUGUCUCUGUAACAGCACCGCACGCGCAAGGGUGCCUGUGACAGGUCUUCCUGUAUACACGGCAUACAUUGAAAAACUACAACUCCCAGAAAUCCCACGCCAGAACUGAGCCCGCGCCGUUGCUAUGGCAUCUGACAAUCUGGAAGACGCCCCUGGAUACCUGCAUUGUACUUGCAGAAGCCUCAUGGACUGAAGGGGACAAAAAUCAAAACCUAAGACCAGCUAAAGGUGGGAACCCCCAUCACAGACUGGGAUUUCAAAGUAUUACACUUUUAAGAUACAGAUGAAACAAAAGUAAAUCGGUCUUCACACUGACUUGAGACCUGGUUGUGUGCCAUCUGGAUGAUCUAGGGAACCUCCAGCUUUCAGUAUGAAUUAAGGUUUGGUAAUAUUCCCAGGUAAAGGCAACCAGAAAUCCUUCUAGAGGUAGAUGCCUCAUCCUUAUCCUGUUUAUUCCUAUAAUUAAUUGUUCAAAUAUAGUAUUCAGCUCAUAGAUAACCUGGCACAUGUAGAGACAAGACACUAUGAGCAACAAUCAGUAAAAACAAGAGACCAUUAAGACUUCAGGUACUUAAAUUUUAGACAAAUUUAGGUAA
This is a long non-coding RNA of Acinonyx jubatus (cheetah), 826 nucleotides long. RefSeq lists it as uncharacterized. NCBI's taxonomy places the organism in Eukaryota, Metazoa, Chordata, Mammalia, Carnivora, Felidae. The record is from RefSeq and is a predicted model, not a curated record. The transcript is spliced from 4 exons.